CGAUCUCAUUUAAGAGGUAAGAACAUCACAAAUUGAAGAAAUCACAUGGAUGCUUACAGUUAUUGGUAUGGAUUUUCGAUCGAGUGAUCCUGGAUGCCAACGCCCAUAUCCUUUUCUAGUGUGUUCGAGGCUUCCAAUUCUUGAAUCGAUGGAGGCUGGCGCUGCGUUCUUCCAUCGGUUCUUCUUUCUUUGUAGUUCACGAUUGAUCAAUUCUUCGUGAGAUUCGUGUGAGCGCAUAUACAUACAGGAGAAAAACAAUUCAUUGUUAGAUUAUUAAUUGAUGAUUGCAAGAAGACAAGAUCAAUCAAUCAAUCUCCCUGAUUAGUUUCUUUCCUUUUUGUACGAGGAACAUCUCGUCUUCGCCGUGAAUCGCGUGGUGGCCGAAACUCUAGUAGCCAACUUCUCCAGACUUCUCCAGUCAUCGUCUGCGGCAAUUGCAGAUCGCCGGAGUGGCCUCCUCUGGCCAUAGAGAGGCCUUGCCGUUUGCCGCCGCUGUCGUCGGCAGUCAUGUGGCGGAUUGAAGCGCCGGAGGGCGCCGCUUCGACGCGCCUACAGAGGAGGGCGUCGUCAACCAUGGGGUGCCUCAGCCGCCUGCAUCGCGCGCUGGUGCUGCGCCGCUGGAGCGCUGUCGAGGCCGAGGGUCCUCGUGUCCUUGGGGCCGGAGGGAGGGUCAGGGACGGUGGAGCCGUCGAGUUCUUGGCCUAACUGCUCUCUGGAAGAGGCGUGCGUGAUAACGUGUUGGAGAGAAUCGAGAGAGAGGAGCGAAUGGAAAACAGAUAUAUGAAUGAACAGUUAUUCUAUUGAUUGAAGAUUGGGGUAUUUAUACCCAGUUUA
Molecule: long non-coding RNA, 834 nt
Organism: Triticum dicoccoides
Lineage: Eukaryota; Viridiplantae; Streptophyta; Magnoliopsida; Poales; Poaceae
Exons: 2
Source: RefSeq, a predicted model, not a curated record